CGGAUCGCAGGCUGCAACCCGCCUGCGUCAAGUUGGAAUUGCUAGUAAUCGCGGAUCAGCAUGCCGCGGUGAAUACGUUCCCGGGCCUUGUACACACCGCCCGUCACACCAUGAGAGUCGGGAACACCCGAAGUCCGUAGUCUAACCGCAAGGAGGGCGCGGCCGAAGGUGGGUUCGAUAAUUGGGUGAAGUCGUAACAAGGUAUC
Molecule: ribosomal RNA, 206 nt
Filed under: uncultured bacterium
Lineage: Bacteria
Description: partial 16S ribosomal RNA
Rfam family: Bacterial small subunit ribosomal RNA
Source: RNAcentral